RNAcentral lists this ribosomal RNA (253 nucleotides) under uncultured bacterium. Its description in RNAcentral is "partial 16S ribosomal RNA". It matches the Rfam family "Bacterial small subunit ribosomal RNA", at positions 524 to 776 of the family's 1533-position model. The record is from RNAcentral.
UACGUAGGGUGCAAGCGUUAAUCGGAAUUACUGGGCGUAAAGCGUGCGCAGGCGGUUUUGCAAGCCGGAUGUGAAAUCCCCGGGCUUAACCUGGGAAUGGCAUUUGGGACUGCAAGGCUGGAGUGCGGCAGAGGAGACUGGAAUUCCUGGUGUAGCAGUGAAAUGCGUAGAUAUCAGGAGGAACACCGAUGGCGAAGGCAGGUCUCUGGGCUGACACUGACGCUCAUGCACGAAAGCGUGGGGAGCAAACAGG